UCCCUCCACGCCGCCAGGGGGCGCGCGGCCCUGGUGCUGCGCCUGCGCGGCGGUUCGAACGCGAUGGCGGCGGCGAGAGGGUGAAGGAGCGGGCGCGUCUCGCCGCCCGUCUCCUCAGGCGUUUCCAGGUGCCGUUGUCAUCUCUCGCUCUGUCUUUGCAGGAUGUCCGCGCCUGCGAGCCACCCUACCGCUACGGCGGCGGGCGGAGAAGCGCCGAAAACUAAGCAGAAAGGAGGAAGGAUCGUGAAGUCUCGCUACCUGCAGUACGACAAGAAAGACGUCAGGAAGGUACUUGGACGCCUCCCUGCCGAGCUCAAACGUCGCUCAGCAAAGGGAUACUCCAACAAAUUCCUUUUCCAUAUCUACUGGUAA
RNAcentral lists this long non-coding RNA (372 nucleotides) under Athene cunicularia (burrowing owl). Its description in RNAcentral is "lncRNA (ENSACUG00000011612.1)". Lineage: Eukaryota; Metazoa; Chordata; Aves; Strigiformes; Strigidae. The record is from RNAcentral.